CCCGGAGGCGGAAUCGGCCGGCGCGCCCCCGCGCCCCGCUGCUCGCGCUGCUGGCCGCGCUGCUGGCCGCGCCCCGGGCCCUGGCAGAGGCCCCGCACCUAGUGCUCGUGGACGCGGCCCGCACGCUGCGGCCCCUGCGGCCCUUCUGGAGGAGCACCGGCUUCUGCCCCCCACUGCCUCACAGCCAGGCUGACCGGUAUGACCUCAGCUGGGACCACCAUCUCAACCUGGCCUACGUGGGUGCUGUCCCUCAUGGUGGCAUUGAACAGGUCCGGACCCACUGGCUGCUGGAGCUCAUCACAGCCAGAGGGUCAGCUGGGCAAGGCCUGAGCUACAACCUCACCCAUCUGGAUGGGUACCUGGAUCUUCUCAGGGAGAACCAGCUCGUCCCAGGCUUUGAGCUGAUGGGCAGCCCUUCCAAACGCUUCACCAACUUUGAAGACAAGCAGCAGGUGUUUGAGUGGAAGGAGCUGGUCUCCCUCUUGGCCAGGAGAUACAUUGGUAGGUAUGGACUCUCACACGUUUCCAAGUGGAACUUUGAGACGUGGAAUGAGCCAGACCACCACGACUUUGACAAUGUGUCCAUGACCAUGCAAGGCUUCCUGAAUUACUACGACGCCUGCUCCGAGGGUCUGCGGGCUGCCAGCCCCGCGCUGCGCCUAGGCGGCCCCGGGGACUCCUUCCACCCCUGGCCACGCUCCCCGCUGUGCUGGGCCCUCCUGGGGCACUGUCACAACGGCACCAACUUCUUCACGGGGGAGCUGGGCGUGCGGCUGGACUACAUCUCCCUCCACAAGAAGGGCGCGGGCAGUUCCAUCUACAUCCUGGAGCAGGAAAAGGCGACCGUGCAGCAGAUACAACGGCUCUUCCCCAAGUUUGCCAACACCCCCAUUUACAACGACGAAGCGGACCCGCUGGUGGGCUGGUCCCUGCCGCAGCCUUGGCGAGCCGACGUGACCUACGCGGCCCUGGUGGUGAAGGUCAUCGCCCAGCACCAGAACCUGCUGGUGGCCAACACCAGCUCCGCGCUGCGGUACGGGCUCCUGAGCAACGACAACGCCUUCCUGAGCUACCACCCGCAUUACUUCACGCAGCGCACGCUCACCGCGCGCUUCCAGGUCAACACGACGCGGCCGCCGCACGUCCAGCUGCUGCGCAAGCCCGUGCUCACGGCCAUGGCGUUGCUGGCCCUGCUGGACGGCGAGCAGCUCCGCGCGGAGGUGUCGCAAGCCGGGACGGUGCUGGACAGCAACCACACGGUGGGCGUCCUAGCCAGCGCCCACAGCCCGGCAGGCCCCCUUGACGCCUGGCGCGCCACGGUGCUGGUCUACGCGAGUGACGACACAAGCGCCCAUGCCAACCGCAGCGUCGCCUUGACCCUGCGCCUGCGCGGGGUGUCCCCAGCGCCGGGGCUCGUCUACGUCACGCUGUACCUGGACAACCAGCUCUGCAGCCCCCAUGGCGAGUGGCAGCGCCUCGGCCGGCCGGUCUUCCCCUCCGCAGAGGAGUUCCGGCGCAUGCGCGCAGCGGAGGAUCCGGUGGCCGUGGCGCCACGCCCCUUCCCUGACAGUGGCCGUCUGACACUUCGCCCGGAGCUCCGGGUGCCCUCGCUCUUGCUCGUGCACGUGUGCGCACGCCCCGAGAAGCCACCAGGCCAGGUGACCCGGCUCCGUGCUCUGCCCUUGACCAGGGGGCAGGUGCUUUUGGUCUGGUCCGAUGAGCAUGUGGGCUCCAAGUGCGUGCCUGUGGACGUAUGAGAUCCAGUUCUCCGCGGAUGGUGGCGUGUAUGCCCCUGUCAGCAGGAAGCCGUCAACCUUUAACCUCUUCGUGUUCAGCCCAGACACUGCCGUCACCUCUGGCUCCUACCGGGUUCGAGCAGUGGACUACUGGACCCGGCCAGGCCCCUUCUCGAAUCCUGUGCGAUACCUGGAGGUCCCUGCACCAUGAGGGCCCCCACUGCCCCGUGGCCGUGAGGCUGUGCUGACCCGUGAACCUGGGCGGCCAGGAGCUGAGAUGGGCUGGACCACCAGCGGCCCAUCGGUCGGCUCUGUUCAUCCUCUCCUGUCAUCUUGCUCAACCCCUUAAAGUGCCUUUCCACUCCUCGGACUUGGGGUUGGCCUUUGUGGACGGGCCAAGGGCAGACGUGGGAUCUGGCUGGAGCAUGGCCUUCUGCUGCCGUGGGGGCCAGGGUGGGGAGCAGGCUGGGCACAGGGAGACAGGUCCAGCUGCCAUGAGGAUGGCUGCCCUGCCUACCUGGGGUCUCUGGCAUCAUUGCUGGGUGCAGUGGGCCCCAUUCCUGUCCCCUGCCCGUUCUGCAGAGCAGGAGGGGGCCCACCUGGAUCAGCUUGGAGCACAGAUGGGAACCCACCUUCUGAGGCCCAGGCAGGCUGACCCCUGCACUCCACCAGUGCUCCGGAGGUAGGGUGGAGCUUCCAGGCUGUCUGGCCCCAACUGUGGCCAGCAGCAAAAAAGGCCCACGGUGUCUGUGUGAGCCGUGCCUGCCUCCACAGCCAUCCUGGUUCCACAUCUGAGCCCAGAAGGAGACAGGUGGCAUGCUGAGAUGAGGAUGAUGGGACUGUUCACAGAGAUGCGACGGUGGGUGGGGAGCUGCAUGGGGAAGUGCAGGACCCCAGGAUCCUCCCCCCACCCCCAGGGCCAACAGAGCAUGCGAGGGAGGACUCACCGGUCAAGACAGACAGGUGUGAGAAGCAGAGAGCUUCAGCCCAGGAGUGCAGCCAGUCUGGGGGGCCCUUUGAGCAGGGGUGGAGGUGUGGAGGUCCUGAUCCCCCUCUACCCACUGCCCUCCAGGGCUGCCUUGGGCUUAGGGCUGGGGGAGGCGAUGCGGGUCUAAAAGGGUCUGAAAGGGCAGAUGGAAGAUGAGGCCCAGUCGACCCCUCUGGCUUCCCAAACCUGCCAGCCUGUCUACGCCAAAAACUCGAGGACCGCCAGGUCUCACCAGCUGCCUUACCACGGGUGGGGGAAGUCUGCGCGAUGACGCUUCCGUCUGAACCCCACAGUCAGCCCCUGUUCCUUUGCUUGCUUUCCCGUGUGGGUACCUUAGGGCUCAGUGCCAGGGGGCCCAGCCCUUGCGUCUGUGGGGCACUGUAACCUGCUGGCUGCUGUUAGUGUACAGGGGGCAGAGGGGCUCCCGGCGUGGUGCUGCUGCCCGACGAAGCCCUGUCUCCGCCGGCUCAGGCCUCAUGACGAGGUGCAACCACCCGCUGGCCUCAAGGCUCCAACUACAGAAGUCCCGGAGGCGGGAAGUCUGAGACCAAGGUGCGGGCAGGGCUGGUUCCUUCCGAGGCCUCUCUCCUGGGCUCGCAGACAGUGGCCUCCUCCCUGCCUUCUGUCCUACUGCCGUCUCCCAAGGACGCCAGUCCCGUGGGAGUAGCACCCACUCUCGUGACGGCACUUUCAUCACCUCCUCGAAGGUCCUGUCUCCAAAUACAAUUCUGUUUGGAGGCACUGGGGGUUAGAAUGUCAGCGUAAGAAUUCGUGGGGGAGUGAGUUCAGCUCCUAAUAAGCACCGACUCCAUUUCUCCAUGGUGCUUGGGAUCCAUCAACCCAGUAGGAAAGCGGCCUCUUCUCUACCUGGUGGGUCCGUGGCCUUAGGACCCCUGAUGGUUGAGGGGCCAUCUCCGCUUCCAGCUUACGGGAGGGGGACUGGGUUCCUUGGUGGACUCGGUCCUUCCUUGGGUGCCAAGACCUUCAGAGCCGCUGAGCAGAUUCCUCAGGCAGGGGGACUACUCCCCUCUCCCCAGCUCUGUGUGUUCUGGCUCCUGGCAAAGCAGCAGCACACGCGCGGUUUGCACGUCGGCUGGGAGUUCCCAGCGUGAGCUUGCUGCCGUUGUGCCGGUGGUAGGUUGGGUGCCCCCUUGGAGGGGACCGUGGCUCCAGGGCAGUCAGUGGGCAUUCAGCAGGACAGCAGACGCACAUCUGUGCUGUGCCUCUCAGCCCCCAGGGGUAAGUCACCGUCUCCGCCGUGCUUAUAACGUCCACGUCAUCAGCCUGUCACCAGAUUGCUGAUGCAUCCCCGCUCUCUGACCAGGCUGACUGGUCAGCUUUGGUCUUUGAUGGUGUGGGGUCGGGCUUUCUGAGAGUUGGGGUGUCCAUGUGAUUGGCCGACACACAGGCUCUGCCCCUGCUGCAGGCCUCUUUGUACCUGGGCUCGUGGAGUUGCCACUGGGAUGGCAGACAGGCCCGUGACGAGUCUCAGAUGCAGGGGACACCCCACGGAUCCACGGAGGUGUUUGGGUGGGAUAGCACUCUCAGUCUGUGCUGCUCCCCAGACCUUGUCCUCAAGCUUCCUGUCUUGGUCUUUAUGAGUCUGGCCAGCUGGUCACCCUCUGGUAUGCUCCCUUUUGUACAGCCACUCUGGGCUAGAUGUCCCCUUGGCUUGGUCCCCUGAGAGACACUGGUGUAUGUAUACGUUUGCCCAUAAACAGUGUCUCCCAGCAGCCAGCACCCUUGUAAAGCCCUAGGUCGGUGGAGGGAGAGAGGGAGCUGGACCCUCUUGUUCAUACAGCUCACCUGCGAAUGUGCUUGGGCCCCGCCUCCAGUGUUCUCACCUCAGGAGGGAACACCGCACGUACUCGGUUCUCGCUGGGCACUUGGGUCAGUCAGGUUAGACCUUACCAAGACCUCAGCAGCGAGCGCAGAGCUGUUGUCAAGUGGAUAAUGGAUGUUGACUGAGGAGGAAGCGGCCCUGCUCGGGGAUGCUAGGAGUCUGGCCCAGAGCUGUUUCUCUUUUUGGCACCUGCCAGAGGCCUGUCAGCCACAGAUGUGUCAGGCACCGUGGGCCUGACGGGCUGUCCUCCCAAGUGGCAAGAUGGCCUGUGGCAUGCCUGGACGUGCCAGGGGGCUUUUUCUUGCAACAGUGCAUGACACCCGGGAAGUUGGUUAGAGAAGCAUGCACAGAUGUGGUGCGGGCUGCACCCCAAAUUAGUGCCUCCUGGAACUGGGUGCUGUAAGGUACGCUGACUUACCUUACUUCGUGGGACAUCCCAGCAUUUCCCUUCCGGGCCCUGGAAGCCCCCGGCCGUCAACGGGGCUUAUCUUCCACCCUGUGGUCAGCCCGGGUUUGCUUAAGGCAUCCGGGGUGCCCGUUAACCCCACACACCCGGUCCGAUCAGCAUAAUGUCCUCAAACAAACCAAGAUCCCCCAGGAUCCUACUAAGCCUGGGAGAGGGGGUACCAUCGGGGCAAACCGUGGAAGCACGCUGACGGCCCCACCGUGUGAAAGUCCCCACCGUGUGAGGGCAAGCUGCUGCUGAUUCUCCUCCUCGGUGAGGCUAGAAAGGAAGCAUUUCCUGGCUUAGCGGUGUAUCAAGAGACACACUGUGUGCUUCUCUGCAGGAAACAUAAUCUCAGCUAUGGCUGCCGUGGCCAUGGGGUGCACUCGUCCCCUGUCCUUCUAACAGCAUCUGACAGAGUUCUGUGGGAACACAGAAGGACCCCUCCUCCCCCUGCAGCUUCCAGGUGUCCUACUGGAACGAAUCUCUGCAGUUUCCGGAAACGUGGUGGGUUUGGCUUGCAGGGAGGGGUGGGCCUGGGGGCUUCUGUGCUGGCCCUCCCUGCGCAGGUGAGGGAACCAACGUGGGAUGAGGCCACCCCUCUCCCUACAUUUGGGGGACUGAAGAAACCCCAGCAGGAAGGGUCUUGGCUCAAGGCUCUGGCCAGGGCCCAUGUACUGUCAGACGUCCCCAGGCCCCCGUCGGUGUCUGUGAUGGUUUUCAGGCAUUCUCAUCGGUUCAAGGCCAUUAUCCAGUAACCUCUAGGAGGUCCGAGGGCACUCACCUGAAAAUGGCCACAGGGCCCCUUACAUACCUGGGGACACGUAACAGUAACUGGAUUCUGAGUUCUUUUUUUUCAGGGGACCCCACCUCCCCCCUCCAUCAAGGGCUCUGGGUCCAUGACCCGGCUUAGAUGUGGGGCCUGGACACAAGGCCCUGAAGCCUCGUGGUGACAGGUUAUGUCUGAAAACUGCCCACCAGACCACCAUCACCUCUUGUUUGCAGAAGACCCCUGAAGUUCAGAAACACCCAUGUGUGCGAAACCGGGGUCUUCUCAAAACUUCAGUCUGACUCACUAGCCUGCCUGGGGUGGGGGCCAGGACGGCAUUUCCAGGACCUCCGGGCGCUGCUGGUCCCAGGAGCGUGCACGAGAGCAGCAGGUCAGAGUCGGGCCCUUCCAGGGGCUCAGGCUGGCCCAGCGCACUGGCUGCAUGUCCCACACUUGUGCGGGGACGAGACCCACUCCGCGAGGCUUCCAGGCUCCCUCUUCCUAACCUCCCUUUGGUUCUGGAGGCAGAGGGAUGAUCCAGGCACAGAUGUGGUCACACGGGGGCGUGAUGGCCUCACUAGAGGACUCAGCAGCCUUGGUCUCCUGUCCAUCUGUCCCGAGUCCUUCUCAGGUGUUGGGUGUCCCUCUCCUUGAAAAUCGCAUUCCUCAGCAAAUGAAGGCUUCUGCUGGUCCAGCCUUGUGUCGGACUGCAGCACGUAGAACGAGGUUGUGUGCCCACCCUGUGGCCAGAGAGGCCCCGGCCCCACAUGCCCUCAGCUCACUUUCCUUUCUUCCCUUUCAAGGGAGAGGGAGAGGUGCCCAGACUUCACACACACUGCUGUUGCUAUAGCAACCAGCCCCUUGCCACCACCUGCACUCCGCCCGGUGCCGCCGCCCACCCCCCGGGGAAUUUGAGUACCCAUGACGCCAUUUCCCAUCUGCAGGGUCAGCCCCGAGCUCCUCAGAUCUGAGUCACCUAAUGCCAGGAGCCCAUGUGGAAGGUCUGUGUUGUGGGGCCACCGCAAGUGCUGAUGGCCCCAUGGGUCAGGGCCCCGGCAGGGAGGACACACACACUCCAGCUCAUCUUUAAUGCAGGAACUGGUUGUACGGGUGUGUCAGGGAGCAGAGAGCCCAAGGGAGGUUCCUGCAGGGGCCAGGGCAGCUGGCAUGGGCGUUACCCUUCCCAGGUGUGAGGGAGGAAGAGGGUUGCCCCACAGACCUCUGAACUUGCCCUUGGACUCCUUCCAGAUUGUGCAUAGACCAAACCCAAGUGGAAGCCAAAGGCAGAGAAGCCAGGUGCCACCAAACACCUGGGCAUGACCUGGACUCCAGCACGGGGAGGGAAAGUGGGGGGUAGAGAAGGAGGGAAAGGAGUCGGGCCCUUUGCAGGCCCCAGGAUGGGUGGAGGGACUGCAGAAGAGGGACUGCACCUGAGCCUGGUGCCCUUGCCCACAGCCCAGAGGGGGCACCGGGUCCGCUUGGGCAGGGGGAUAUGAAUGGAGUUCAGCCCCUGGCAUGAUGGAACGUCAUGAAUGCAGACCUUUCUGAGACCAAGAGAGGCCCUGGGUGCAGCUGCCAGAGGUCAUGCAUGGGUCCUCUCCCACCCAACACCUCAACAUUACCAUGGAGGACAGCACCGCCUGCCCUGCCCACUGGGGUGCAGCCCAAGCACCCUGAGACCAGGCCAGAAAUCUCCCCUGCACUCUCCUGCUCAAGGGUCUCCACUGGGUUGGCAGAGGAGAGGAGUUGCCUGUAGGGUGCUCCAAGUGGCCCCUCCCUGCCCAGGGGAGUAGGGCUGCAGACACCCCUAAUUAGCAGCAGGAGGUGGCCAAAGCCCCAUUGUCUGCCCUCCACACCUGCUAGAACCUGUCCUCCUGGGGCCCUGGGCCAGCUUGUAGAAUGGCCACCCCUCCAGGUGAGGUCAGGUGUAGCAGACGCCCUGUGGGAGGGGGCUGUGAAUGCCAGCACCAUCCCCUGGUCCUGCCCCCCCCAGACAACUGCCUUUGGGGAGAGCUACAGAGAAACCUGACAGGGAACCCCCAGGGCCAAUGACAGCGGUGAGCUGGGCUUCUUCAUCAGGUAGGCUCGUCCUCCCAUCAGUCCUGGUCAGGAUGGCUCACCUGCUCUGGCCCUGGGCAGGGAUCCCCUCAGGGAUUCAGGGGUGUGCAUAUGCAGGCAGGGGCCUGAGGCUCAAUCUCAGAGUGCUGGUCAGCCCCAGGAGUUCUUGCCCCCCGGCCGUGAGAGCCGGCCAUGAAGCAGGACACCGGGUGAGCUCCUGUGGGGACAGCCGACCCUAGGAAGGGGUCAAGGCUCAGAGAAACAGGCUGCUCUCCUGAGCUCACCUCUCAGGGGAGUGCACAUGGGGCUACCCACCCUAGAGUGUCUAUGGCUGCGAGGCACAGGUGGCACCCCAAGUUUCCCUCAAAGAGGAAGGAGUAAGUGGGUCCAGGUCCCUCCAAACCGUGGUUCCAGAGCAGAUCCAGGAAUGAGGUCCGCUCUGUGCUCUGCUAAGGGAAAGCUCCAGUGAGGGUCUAAGUUGAACUAAUAGGUCACAGGAGGGGAGGUGACACCAAAAAUGUGGUUUGUGCAUGAAAAAAUCAAAACCGAUUUACAUCCCCAGCUCAGGUGUUCAUGCACUCAGCCAGCGAACACUGAUGGAGCGUCUGUGUGCUGGGGCACCUGUCGCCUCAGCAGCCCCCCGAACCCCCCACGAAGGCUCCUCCUCUGUCUCUCUAGCCCCCCAACCUGGUUUGUCUUUUAAAAAAAUAAUACUUUAUUGAGUGCGAUAACCUGCACUAUUUAAAGUGUACAAUUUGACAAGUUUGGACACGUUUACGUCCGUGAGCACAAUCUAAGUAGUGCACAUCAGUGAGCCCCAGAAGUCGCCCCAGCUCCCCUGCUCUGGACCCCACCCUGCCCCAGGCAGCCCCAGAUCGGCCUUCUGUCGCCACAGCUCCCCUGGCUUUUCUAGAACGUCACACAGAUGCCAUCGCAUGGUGCGCACUCUCUCCUUCCCAUGUUUGUCUCACUUAGCGUAACUAUUUUGAGAUUCGCCCGUGUUGCUGCGAGUGUGUUUUUUGCUAACCUGUUGUAUGCGUGUGAGUCAGUCGGGUGGCCCGCUCGCUUGUCAGCCAUUUGGGCAGUUUCCAGUUUGGGGCUAUUUCAAAUAAAGCUGCCGUGAACAUUCGAGCACAAG
Molecule: RNA transcript, 8977 nt
Organism: Ailuropoda melanoleuca (giant panda)
Lineage: Eukaryota; Metazoa; Chordata; Mammalia; Carnivora; Ursidae
Gene: IDUA
Gene name: alpha-L-iduronidase
Exons: 14
Source: RefSeq, a predicted model, not a curated record